AGAGAAUUACUCCUGCAGGUGCUCUGAGCCCUGUAUUUCCAAUAUAGCUCCACUCCAUAAUUUGUAUACUCUUUUAAGUAGCAUUUUCUCAAAUUUCCAUUUGCUAAAGUGUCAUUUCCUACCCAAGUGCUGGAGCUCUCAGAGCCACAUUUCAUGACCCUUGUUUGACAGGAACUUUGCUAACAGAUGCAGGGAGGGACAGCCUUUGGAAUUCCUUGAGGUAAUGUUAUGUUAUACCAAAAAUAUCUACUAGGGUUUUACAGAAAUGCCAAACAUUUUCGUAGAGUCUUUGGAAUUCCUGUAGAAGGGUUUUACAUAGGAGCCAUCAUUUUUAGUGUACAAAUUAUACAUAUACAUAUACACACACAUAUACAUAUACAUCUACACACACACACAUAGGAUAUAUAUAUAUAUAGAACAUAUGUGUAUAUAUAGGAUUCCUGAAGAUGAUCAGCCAGCUACCUGGUGGCAGGUGGAUUAUAUUGGACGUCUUCCAUCAUGGAAAGGGCAGAGGUUGGUCAUCACUGGAAUAGAAACUUACUCUGGAUAUGGGUUUGCCUAUCCUGCAUGCAAUGCUUCUGCCAAGACUACCAUCCAUGGACUCAUGGAAUGCCUUAUCCACUGUCACAGUAUUCCACACAGCAUUGCCUCUGACCAAGGCACUCACUUUACAGCUAAAGAAGUGUGGCAGUGGGCUCAUGCUCAUGGAAUUCACUGGUUUUACCAUGUUCCCCAUCAUCCUGAAGCAGCUGGAUUGAUAGGACAGUGGAAUGGCUUUUUGAAGUCAUAGUUACAACGCCAACUAGGUAACAAUACUUUGCAGGGCUGGGGUUUACAAGGGGUGGACUUGUGAUGGCUAAUACCGAGUGUCAACUUGAUUAGAUUGGAGGCUACAAAGUAUUCAUCUUGGGUGUGUCUGUGAGGAUGUUGAUAAAAGAGACUAACAUUUGAGUCAGUGGGCUGGGAAAGGCAGAUCCACCCUUAGUGUGGUGGGCACAAUCUAAUCAGCUGCCAUCAAACACAAAAGCAGGCAGAAAAACAUGAAAAGGAGAGACUGACCUAGCCUCCUAGCCUAUGUCUUUCUCCUGUGCUGGAUGCUUCCUGCUGUCAAACACAGGACUCCAAAUUCCUGUUUGGGGACUUGGACUGUUUCUCUUUGCUCCUCAGCUUGCAGACAGCCUAUUGUAGGACCUUGUGAUUGCGUAAGUUAAUAUUUAAUAAAUUCCCCUAUAUAUAUGUAUACAUAUAUAUGCAUAUAGUGUAUAUAUACACAUAUAUAUGUGUAUAUAUACACAAAUAUAUAUAUGUGUGUGUGUGUGUAUAUUUUUAUAUAUAUACAUUUCGUAUUAGUUCUGUUCCUCUAGAGAACCCUGACUAAUACAAAAGUAUUGCUUAUAAGAGUUCUUUAGGUCUAGCCCAAGUGUGAUUUUUUAUGGGUUUACUGUCAAAAUUUCUGAGUCACUUAAAAAAAGAAUGUUCUCAGGUCAAAAGCAGAGACAUUAUUUUUGUAAGCUUUAUUAAUUGCUUUAAAUGAUUCAAUGUUUUAUUUUGCUUCACAUUUGUGAUUUUACCUUACUGUGCAAGUUUUAAAAAAUGUUUUUCCAGGAAUUUUGAAGUAUUUUUCUUUUUAUUGCAUUAUUUGCCUAUGUCAUAUUUUUAAGUGUUUUUCCAAAUGUUCAUGCAUUCCAUAAAGGGGAAUUCCCCUUUCAUUCCCAGAUAACUCUAUAAUUCUAUCUGGGAAUCCUGUUUUUUUU
Molecule: long non-coding RNA, 1754 nt
Filed under: Homo sapiens (human)
Lineage: Eukaryota; Metazoa; Chordata; Mammalia; Primates; Hominidae
Description: non-protein coding lnc-GABPA-20:1
Source: RNAcentral